CGGGAUAUGGCGCAGCUUGGUAGCGUGCCUCGUUCGGGACGAGGAGGUCGCAGGUUCAAAUCCUGUUAUCCCGACCA
RNAcentral lists this transfer RNA (77 nucleotides) under Corynebacterium alimapuense. It matches the Rfam family "tRNA". From Rfam's summary of the family: Transfer RNA (tRNA) molecules are approximately 80 nucleotides in length. Their secondary structure includes four short double-helical elements and three loops (D, anti-codon, and T loops). RNAcentral also lists the same sequence under 8 other names. The record is from RNAcentral. Lineage: Bacteria; Bacillati; Actinomycetota; Actinomycetes; Mycobacteriales; Corynebacteriaceae.